RNAcentral lists this long non-coding RNA (5184 nucleotides) under Gallus gallus (chicken). The record is from RNAcentral. Lineage: Eukaryota; Metazoa; Chordata; Aves; Galliformes; Phasianidae.
GUCAUAUUCCAAGCAGAUCUACACCCUGGCUGCUCAGCAGUGGUAAGAAAUAAGCAGUCAGGCAUUUGAAAGAACAUGCAAAAGUCAGCUGAACAGGUGCUGCUGGUCAGUCUCCUGUUCAGCUGUAACGCGGCCUUGCUUAAGAGGUGACCCUCCCACCUCCAAGUGUCUUUACAAUUCUGUGAAAAAAUGUUUUCUAUUUUAGCUGUCAGCGUUUUCCUUCAGUAGAGCAGAAAUAAUUACUAAUUUUAUAGUAUUUUUUAAAGCAACACAAAAGUAUAAGCAGGUAACUCCAGGAAUCUCAAGCAGCCUUGGCCCAAGUUUACCUACUACUUACCUGAGCAUUCUUAAAUCUAAUGUGACUUCAAGGCUCGUACUACUAGUCUGCAUUACAAUGAAAACUUGCUUUGACAUCAUUAGGAAAAAAAAGAAUUUCCAACAUACCAGCAGGCACUGUGUGACCUUCCUUGGUCCCUCAGGAACCAGCACAUUGCAGGUGCCCACUUCUCCCAUCCUCGGUGCUCUUACAAGAGCUGAACCCCCCCCCUGUGCCAGCAAAGGGCUGCACGCUCAGUUCACAUCAUUCUCAAACCUACCUUCCGUCCCAGGGUGCUUCCUUACGUACAGCCAUCCUCUUGUUGCUCUACUGAGUCAAGGGCGGUAGAGUUUGAAGCACAGUUGCUACAAAGGAGUAAAAAUGUAAAGGGAAAAAUACAUUUGAGCCAGGCUCAGCCCUUCAGUUGCUGAAGAACUACACCUGUGGACUCAUAGCUGGUGCUGCUCAAGUUCAGCAUCAAUUGGGCACUGCUGUGAAAAGCAAUGAGGGCACUACCACUGUUGUUUAUCCCAGCAGAAACAUUCUGACUUGUGGAAGCAAUUCCAAAAGAGGGGAAAGCUGUUUGUUAGUUAAGUACCUAUCUUGAUAGAUUUACACUUGAAAGCAGCAGUUAAAUGCUUUGACUCAGCCCUCUGUACAUAUCAAUGCCACUGAGUGAAAACUGAAAUGAAAUCCCAUUUGGCUGUGACUAAAGCUGUCAGUAACAACACUUACAACAUGCCAUGGCCCUGAAGCAAUGCAACGAGAGAUGAGGAACGGUAUUUCCUGUCUCAUUUACAGCCAGGGUUGGUCUCUGUUUUGCAUUAAAACAAAGUCCUCUGGCAUGGUGUUUCCCAACAAUGCGGAUGAAUGUUUAAAACAAACCAGACUCACAUUAUCCGACAUGUGAGAAAUGCAGACCACGCCAGUGCGCAGUGCUGCAGUAAUCCACAGUUGCAUUUUAAGAUAAUCUCUGUUAAUGAUGAAAUAUAAAUGAAAUGAUUUUCUGAACUGAGGGAACAUCUUAACCUUUUUCCUUUCUCUUUGCCAAAACACAGCCUGUGCUUCCCAGCCUUUCCAAAACCAACGCUACCCAGCCCUGUGCUCUCCGUGUGGUGCUGCCCAAGUUAAACAACAUCAGCUGUGCGGUGUCUGGCAGUAGUAACAGGGAGGGAACACUUAAGUACAUAAACAAAAGGCAGAACUCCACUGACCAAUGACUCCUAUCAGAACCAUGAAAACGGAUCACGGUGCCCUCAGCACUGCGGCAGGCCUGGACCCGGGAAUAAAUGCUCCUCGUUAACUAAUUCUCCAAUGGAAAGAGAGGGCGUCCCACUACUAAAUGAAACAUCUUUUAUUCAGGAGCAUCAUAAUUUUAACUUCACAAAUCAUGACAGGAAGGCAAAUAAGAAGAGACUGCCAGAGCAUCUUUUAAACUGGUGAAGGUAAACAUUUUCUUUCUGAACGCUUCUAAUUCGAGAAAGAAGUUGCGUAGGCCUUCCACAGGUGUGCACUACAGAAAUCUGAAGUACAUGCACUACAUUACAAUGCCGAGUGUAUACGUUGGCUACUUCAAAGGGAAAAUAAUCACUUGCAAGUCCAGGACGGCUAUCGGAACACCCUACAAAAUAAGGCUUAGGAGUACUUAGUUUUCAGUCCUGUGAAAUGUAACUAUAACUAAAUAUAACUAAAAUGUAAAUACAUAACUAUCAGAAAAAUAAAAUGACACCUCUGAAUGUCGUUCUGAAAUCUCUUGCUGAUGGGAUCUUAAAUAAGAGACUGUUUAAUGUUUGUCUCUCCCAAGUUACUUUGGAAAAGAAGCAGUGGUGAUGGUAUCUGGGGACUCAGCAUCAGCACAGACAUUUAUCAGAGCACAAGUGGAAUGGUCUCAGUAUGCACAACCAACCAACCAACCAUGCAGACAGAAAAAACCUUCAAUGAGUUACAAGCACGAAGUUACUCAGAUGUCCUAAGAGAAUGACUACAGCAUCUCUGCAGCUGCAGCAGUGGUGCCAUCAAACCCAUGAGAGCUCUGCUCUUCUAGCAGGGGCGGCACCUCACAAAGAAGUUUCCCGUGGCUGUUUUCAGUGAGCGUGUGCCUUCUUCUUUGGUGCAUCGCAGUCAAAGGUUCUGGGAAAAAAUGUUCCAUGUGUUUAAUUCUGCACUUAGAGUGGUCUUUGUGAUGAUGUUGGCUGCACCAACAGCUCUAGUUACCUAUCAGACUAACCUAAAACAAGAGCAGAACCAUGAUGGGCAUACUGCCAGCAGGUGACCAUACCUGGUGGUGGUAUUCAGUGCUUACCACAACUGCAUCACUGUGGUGUUAUUACAGAGAAACGCUGACUAUAGCUGAAAAUAAGAUGUUUCUUUAAAAAAAAAAACUGUCAGUUACGAAACUGAGCUCAUUUAGUCCACAUUUUUCUUAAAAAAAUGGUAUUUAAAUCACUCAUGACAUGAAUCUUUCUGAAUCUUUCUAACGUGCAAAAAAAGAAAAGGUACAUUCAAGCAGACAAAUAACAUUCAUGAGGAAAAGAAGGCUGCACGUCACUACACAGGGUUCUGAAGUUCAGCAUGGAAAGAUCUACCAAGUGUUACAUCCAGUGAGCCACGUCUCCGUGCGCACACACCUCUGUAUGGCCUUGAGUUACUCAAGAGCUUUUAAUAUCUAGCAAAAAAUAAAGCAUUAUAAAAUGCACGACACUCAACAACAGAUAUAAGCGACACUUUCACCUAAGAUGUAUCAGUGUAAUAGGUGUAAAGCAACAGUCAUCCUAUCAAGAAAGCAGAUAAAAGAAACAACCAUAAUCAGCACUAUAUCGAGGCAGGGCCCCAUGCCAGGGGGUGAGAAACAGAGAGGUUUCUUUGCAGAGUGCUGUUAGAGCAGCACUGAGCAGAUCUCAGCACAUCUUACAUCUGUUUGCUGUCACUCCUCUCGAAAACACCUUCACUUGUAACAAAGGCAAACUAAAAAGCAAUGAAGGUUUAAGAAAUUUAAGAAUCCACAUUCUUUGUGUCACAGUGGUUAUCUUACAAAGCAAGAUCAAGCUGCAGGAUUGUUUACUCCUUUAUUUUACAAAACAAGUUACAUCCCAUUUCAUUCAUUUCAUUAAUAAAGUUCUUGUUUCAGUGUAGUAAUUUACUAAAUCGUUACUUGAACAUCAGAAAAUCAUCAUUCAUCUGAAAAGGCUUCUCAUCUCCUCCCACGAGGAACCAUUCAAAGCGAUCACCUGUGCCACAAGCGAAAGAAAUGAAGGUACAGCUCUGCCUGACCAAGGACUGAGGGGCUCUGACACCACAGCAGCAGCAGGCAGGGGCAGCUCGGGAGGCUCAGACCCACUGCAGCAGCCGCACCCGACUCACAGCCUGGCAUUUCUGCACAUCAGUGCAUCAGCAGCAGUUUGAUUUUGAAGGUGGGGCUGUGAACUGGGGCUCCUCAGACACAGACCGGGGGGUGGGGGGAUUUAGCAAAACAUGUAACCAAACGCAUCGGCAUGACAACAGCCAAAGAACAUCACACAGCAAGACCAAAAGCACCUGGCUGGGAGCGACCGGAGACCUGUGAAACUUCUGAAGUAGGAACAAACAGAACAGUGAGGACACGCCGGGUUAGUGCCAACAACGUCCUUGAGAAGGUAUUGCUACUUCUCGUAAGAGCAGGAAAUUCACACCACAAGUGCCAGAAACAUGCUCUUAAAUCAGCAUCCCAAAGAGCGCUGUCAAUGCGUCAUUCAUACGUCAAAGUGAGUUACCCCGUGACUGUUGGAACGGAACGACUGCCAUUAAGUGACGUCACAUUUCAAGUGCAAAACAUUUUUGGCAAAAGUGAAAAAUAGAAAACCUUAACCAGUACUAAUAAAAAAGUGGUUUUUAAAUACUAGCACAGGGCCUGAUCCUGCAAGCACGCAACUCAGGAACCCCAGCUGAUGGCAGCCAGAGUUCUGUGCCCUAAUGUUUAAAGGAUAAGGUCUUUAAAUCACCAUUAGUGUUUAUACUUUGUUUAUGUGUAGUGUAAGUAACACCCACACACAAACACACAUGCAUACUGUGUGUUUAUAUGUGCGUAUAUCGUACACGUGAGUGUGUCUGUGUAUCCAUACACACCAAAUGGCUCCUGAAUCACCUUGAGCUUGUGGUUAUUUGAGAUGCACUGUUCACAGUAUAUAGCUUCUCAUUCGUAUCUUCUGAUAACGAGACCUACUCAGAGACAUUUUACAAGUUAUAUACUGUAUCUUUAUAAUGCCUUUAAGGUAAAGUUAUAAGACAACUGCUGUAUCUUGUCAAAGGCUCUUCCAGAGAGGAUUCAAGUAUUGCCAACCAUCUCCCUCUUUGGCAAAAUAUUUUGGCUUCCAUGGGGUUGUAAGAGCCGCACGCUGCCUCUCCUCUGCUCGCUGUCUCUCUUCAAGGUGGUGUUUGUGUUCCGUUGCUGCAUCGAUGUUGCCUUCCUUCAGAGAAUUGGUGACGUGCUGCCAGAGGUGCCUUGAUUCCAGCGGGCCUUGUUUUGCUAUUGGUCUAAUCUUCUUCUUGGUAACAGGCAGUUUGCUAGUGUCAAUCACUUUGGUUUCUCCAUUGCUGUAAGUGAAUUCCAGCGUGCCAUUCCAUUCUCCCUGUGCCUUGCAUACAAUGGUAUUAGUGGGAUUAUGUUUCACUUCAGCUGUAACCCUGUGGACCUUCCCUCCAUAGAAGGGCUUGGUGUGGAAUGUGACUGUAGCAGAGUAGCCAGUCCUGGCACAAUUGAUGUUGACUUUGCCUCCGAGCUCCACCCACGGGAUGGUAAGUAUCGAGCGAGCGUAGGCACUGGGCAGCGUGAAAACAUAUUCUUCUUCAUGCUCCAGCAAGUACAGAACACCUUCACCUACCAUAGAAACACC